AAUAGAUACCCCGGUAGUCCACGCCGUAAACGAUGAGUGCUAAGUGUUAGGGGGUUUCCGCCCCUUAGUGCUGCAGCUAACGCAUUAAGCACUCCGCCUGGGGAGUACGGUCGCAAGACUGAAACUCAAAGGAAUUGACGGGGGCCCGCACAAACGGUGGAGCAUGUGGUUUAAUUCGAAGCAACGCGAAGAACCUUACCAGGUCUUGACAUCCCACUGACCGCUAUGGAGACAUAGCUUUCCCUUCGGGGACAGUGGUGACAGGUGGUGCAUGGUUGUCGUCAGCUCGUGUUGUGAGAUGUUGGGUUAAGUCCCGCAACGAGCGCAACCCUUGAUCUUAGUUGCCAUCAUUUAGUUGGGCACUCUAAGGUGACUGCCGGUGACAAACCGGAGGAAGGUGGGGAUGACGUCAAAUCAUCAUGCCCCUUAUGACCUGGGCUACACACGUGCUACAAUGGACGGUACAAACGGUUGCCAACCCGCGAGGGGAGCUAAUCCGAUAAAACCGUUCUCAGUUCGGAUUGUAGGCUGCAACUCGCCUAC
This 543-nucleotide ribosomal RNA is filed under the name uncultured bacterium. RNAcentral's name for it is "bacterial SSU rRNA". It matches the Rfam family "Bacterial small subunit ribosomal RNA", at positions 777 to 1319 of the family's 1533-position model. The record is from RNAcentral.